RNAcentral lists this ribosomal RNA (505 nucleotides) under uncultured bacterium. Its description in RNAcentral is "bacterial SSU rRNA". It matches the Rfam family "Bacterial small subunit ribosomal RNA", at positions 791 to 1299 of the family's 1533-position model. The record is from RNAcentral.
UAGUCCACGCCGUAAACGAUGGAUACUAGCUGUCCGGAAUCUUGAAUUCUGGGCGGCCAAGCGAAAGUGAUAAGUAUCCCACCUGGGGAGUACGUUCGCAAGAAUGAAACUCAAAGGAAUUGACGGGGGCCCGCACAAGCGGUGGAGCAUGUGGUUUAAUUCGAUGAUACGCGAGGAACCUUACCAGGGCUUAAAUGCAUAUUGACAGGUCUAGAGAUAGACUUUCCUUCGGGCAAUUUGCAAGGUGCUGCAUGGUUGUCGUCAGCUCGUGCCGUGAGGUGUCAGGUUAAGUCCUAUAACGAGCGCAACCCCUGUCGUUAGUUGCCAGCGAGUCAUGUCGGGGACUCUAACGAGACUGCCGGUGCAAACCGUGAGGAAGGUGGGGAUGACGUCAAAUCAUCACGGCCCUUACGUCCUGGGCCACACACGUGCUACAAUGGUAGGGACAGAGAGCAGCCACUAGGUGACUAGGAGCGAAUCUACAAACCCUAUCUCAGUUCGGAUC